AGCAGCCGCGGUAAUUCCAGCUCCAAUAGCGUAUAUUAAAGUUGUUGCAGUUAAAAAGCUCGUAGUUGAAUUUCGGGAUCAAUAUGUCGGUCGUGCCUUCGGUACGCACUGGUAUCAUUGGUUUCUCCUUUCUGACGAACCAUGAUGUCAUUAAUUUGGUGUUAUGGGGAGUUAGGACUGUUACUUUGAAAAAAUUAGAGUGUUUAAAGCAGGCUUUAGCUUGAAUACAUUAGCAUGGAAUAAUGAAAUAGGACGUUCGAACCUAUUUUGUUGGUUUCUAGGAUCAACGUAAUGAUUAAUAGGGAUAGUUGGGGGCAUUAGUAUUCAAUUGUCAGAGUGAAAUUCUUGGAUUUAUUGAAGACUAACUACUGCGAAAGCAUUUGCCAAGGAUGUUUUCAUUAAUCAAGAACGAAAGUUAGGGGAUCGAAGACGAUCAGAUACCGUCGUAGUCUUAACCAUAAACUAUGCCGACUAGGGAUCGGAUGAUGUUAAUUUUUUAAUGACUCA
This 507-nucleotide ribosomal RNA is filed under the name Glomus sp. Glo9. Its description in RNAcentral is "SSU rRNA". It matches the Rfam family "Eukaryotic small subunit ribosomal RNA", at positions 569 to 1078 of the family's 1831-position model. The record is from RNAcentral. Lineage: Eukaryota; Fungi; Glomeromycota; Glomeromycetes; Glomerales; Glomeraceae.